Molecule: ribosomal RNA, 522 nt
Filed under: uncultured bacterium
Lineage: Bacteria
Description: bacterial SSU rRNA
Rfam family: Bacterial small subunit ribosomal RNA
Source: RNAcentral
UGGACGAAAGUCUGACGGAGCAACGCCGCGUGAGUGAAGAAGGUUUUCGGAUCGUAAAACUCUGUUUUCAGGGACGAAUGUGCGAUAUGUGAAUAAUGUGUUGUAAUGACGGUACCUGACAAGAAAGCCACGGCUAACUACGUGCCAGCAGCCGCGGUAAUACGUAGGUGGCAAGCGUUGUCCGGAAUUAUUGGGCGUAAAGCGCGCGCAGGUGGGAUAAUAAGUCUGAUGUUAAAGUUCGGGGCUCAACCCCGUGAAGCAUUUGGAUACUGUUAUUCUUGAGUGCAGGAGAGGAAAGUGGAAUUCCUAGUGUAGCGGUGAAAUGCGUAGAUAUUAGGAGGAACACCAGUGGCGAAGGCGACUUUCUGGACUGUGUCUGACACUGAGGCGCGAAAGCCAGGGUAGUGAACGGGAUUAGAUACCCCGGUAAUCCUGGCCGUAAACGAUGGGUACUAGGUGUUGGGGGUAUCGACCCUUCCAGUGCCGGAGUUAACGCAAUAAGUACCCCGCCUGGGGAGUACG